This 31-nucleotide ribosomal RNA is filed under the name Meloidogyne enterolobii. Its description in RNAcentral is "partial 18S ribosomal RNA". Lineage: Eukaryota; Metazoa; Nematoda; Chromadorea; Rhabditida; Meloidogynidae. The record is from RNAcentral.
AAAGAUAUCUGGUUGAUCCUGCCUGAACUGA